RNAcentral lists this small RNA (209 nucleotides) under Mycobacterium sp. RNAcentral describes it as "c-di-AMP sequence". It matches the Rfam family "c-di-AMP riboswitch aptamer (ydaO/yuaA leader)". From Rfam's summary of the family: This family represents a conserved RNA structure found upstream of the ydaO and yuaA genes in Bacillus subtilis and related genes in other bacteria. The ydaO/yuaA element is thought to act as a genetic "off" switch for the ydaO and yuaA genes in its native state. Lineage: Bacteria; Bacillati; Actinomycetota; Actinomycetes; Mycobacteriales; Mycobacteriaceae. The record is from RNAcentral.
CCGCCUGUCGCGCCGAGCUCCAUCCAAUAGGCGGGGGACACCGACCCACAUGGAUGGAGACGGGGGACCCACCGGUCCACCGUGACCGGACCGGGGCCGCUCGCGGCCCCUUGGGGUGAAGCCCGCACCGUCUCGCGACGGCGCAGGCCGGGUGGCCUCUCCGACCCGAACCCGACAGCUGACCUCGCAGGCGCGUGACGAGAGAGGAA